Molecule: ribosomal RNA, 492 nt
Filed under: uncultured bacterium
Lineage: Bacteria
Description: partial 16S ribosomal RNA
Rfam family: Bacterial small subunit ribosomal RNA
Source: RNAcentral
AGUGAACGCUGGCGGUAGGCCUAACACAUGCAAGUCCAACUGCAGCACCUUAAUUUCUUGCUCUUACGGGUGGCGAGUGGCGGACGGGUGAGGAAUACAUCGGAAUCUACUUUUUCGUGGGGGAUAACGCAGGGAAACUUACGCUAAUACCGCAUACUACCUACUGGUGAAAGCAUGGGAUCUUCGGACCUUGCGCGAGUGAGUGAGCCGAUGUCGGACUAGCUAGUUGGCUGGGUAAAGGCCCACCAAGGCGACGAUCCGUAGCUGGUCUGAGAGGAUGGUCGGCCACACUGGAACCUAGACACGGUCCAGACUACAACGGGAAGCAGCAGUGGGCAAUAUUGGACAAUGGGCGCCAGCCUGAUCCAGCGAUAGGGCGUGGGUAAAGAAGGCCUUCGCGUUGGAAAGCACUUUGGUUGGGAAAGAAAAGCAGUAGGUUAAUACCCCGCUGUUCUGACGGUACCCAACGAAUAAGCACCGGCUAACUUCGUG